GCUGCCCUCUUUCUUCGUGCCUAAUACAUGCAAGUCGAGCGAACGGACGAGAAGCUUGCUUCUCUGAUGUUAGCGGCGGACGGGUGAGUAACACGUGGAUAACCUACCUAUAAGACUGGGAUAACUUCGGGAAACCGGAGCUAAUACCGGAUAAUAUUUUGAACCGCAUGGUUCAAAAGUGAAAGACGGUCUUGCUGUCACUUAUAGAUGGAUCCGCGCUGCAUUAGCUAGUUGGUAAGGUAACGGCUUACCAAGGCAACGAUGCAUAGCCGACCUGAGAGGGUGAUCGGCCACACUGGAACUGAGACACGGUCCAGACUCCUACGGGAGGCAGCAGUAGGGAAUCUUCCGCAAUGGGCGAAAGCCUGACGGAGCAACGCCGCGUGAGUGAUGAAGGUCUUCGGAUCGUAAAACUCUGUUAUUAGGGAAGAACAUAUGUGUAAGUAACUGUGCACAUCUUGACGGUACCUAAUCAGAAAGCCACGGCUAACUACGUG
RNAcentral lists this ribosomal RNA (497 nucleotides) under uncultured bacterium. RNAcentral's name for it is "partial 16S ribosomal RNA". It matches the Rfam family "Bacterial small subunit ribosomal RNA", at positions 36 to 507 of the family's 1533-position model. The record is from RNAcentral.